This 139-nucleotide non-coding RNA is filed under the name unclassified sequences. Its description in RNAcentral is "RT-16 RNA". It matches the Rfam family "RT-16 RNA". Rfam says of the family: candidate division DUSEL4 (Archaea). Nearby to self-splicing intron genes The record is from Rfam by way of RNAcentral.
CCUAGUCUUUAACUAGGCCACAAGCUAAUUAAUAGUAUUUGUUUUAAAACAAAUCAUAAAAUUCAACCACAACAAUUAGUAGGCUAGUUCUGAAUCUUGAAGUGGUGGUGAUUUACUUUUAAUUAAUUAGCUAUAACCA